AGAGCUGGUGGGAACCAAAGAAACAGAGGCAAUCGGUUGCAAGACAACAGACAGUUCAGAGGCAGGGACAACAGAUGGGGGUGGCCAAGUGACAAUCGAUCCAAUCAGUGGCAUGGACGAUCCUGGGGUAACAACUACCCGCAACACAGACAAGAACCUUACUAUCCCCAGCAAUAUGGACAUUAUGGUUACAACCAGCGGCCUCCUUACGGUUACUACUGAUAGAAAUGUUGGCAGCUUUUAGUAAAAGCAUUUACUCUGUUACCAUGAGAAAAGUUUGGGUGUCUUCUGUUGGUCAUAGUUUUACAUCUGAUUUUACAGAAUGGAUUAUUGAUUUUUUGGAAGUUGAGACUUUAAAAAAAAUAGAUCUUACUUGCGAAAUGCGAUGGUUGCUGGGAAUACCUGAAACUGUGGAUUAUAUUGCUUGACUUCUACCUCAGAAUCUUCUUUGUUUCAUGACUUAAUAGUGCUUUAAGUUUGGUAUAUUAUUUGACCUCUAGGAAUUCUUUGUUUUACACAGAAAUAAAAAUUUUAAAAUAGAAAAUGCUUUUACUUUGUAAGGUAAGAGAGUAUCCAUAUGCUUAGAUGUGCUCGUUUCUAAAAUUCUAGAGGUUGAUAUAAUCAGCUCAUGAAUGCACAGCUAUGCUUUUUGUGAUAGAUUGUACAUAACAUCAGCAGUUGAAAGGUAAAACAAUUGCUUUUUUUUUUUUUUGCAUUUGUUAAGUGACUAUGGUACUUUGUGAUUCCUUAAUCUAUAGAUGAGUCAGCUCCACACUUGAGUCUCUUUUUAGAGGGAAAUCAGUAAUAAAGCUGUAAA
This 817-nucleotide long non-coding RNA is filed under the name Homo sapiens (human). RNAcentral's name for it is "HSALNT0223687". Lineage: Eukaryota; Metazoa; Chordata; Mammalia; Primates; Hominidae. The record is from RNAcentral.